UACUCCUACGGGAGGCAGCAGUGGGGAAUAUUGGACAAUGGGGGCAACCCUGAUCCAGCAAUGCCGCGUGUGUGAAGAAGGCCUGCGGGUUGUAAAGCACUUUUGUCAGGAACGAGUGCCUUGAGCCUAAUAUGCUUAAGGUUGACGGUACCUGAAGAAUAAGCACCGGCUAACUCCGUGCCAGCAGCCGCGGUAAU
This 197-nucleotide ribosomal RNA is filed under the name uncultured bacterium. Its description in RNAcentral is "partial 16S ribosomal RNA". It matches the Rfam family "Bacterial small subunit ribosomal RNA", at positions 334 to 524 of the family's 1533-position model. The record is from RNAcentral.